GCCGGGCGCGGUGGCGCGUGCCUGUAGUCUCAGCUACUUGGGAGGCUGAGGUGGGAGGAUCGCUUGAGUCCAGGAGUUCUGGGCUGUAGUGCGCUAUGCCAAUCGGGUGUCUGCACUAAGUUCAGCAUCAAUAUGGUGACCUCCCGCGAGCAGGGGACCACCAGGUUGUCUAAGGAGGGGUGAACCGGCCCAGGUCAGAAACGGAGCAGGUCAAAACUCCCGUGCUGAUCAGUAGUGGGAUCGCGCCUGUGAAUAGCCACUGCACUCCAGCCUGGGCAACAUAGCGAGACCCCGUCUCU
Molecule: unclassified non-coding RNA, 299 nt
Organism: Aotus nancymaae (Ma's night monkey)
Lineage: Eukaryota; Metazoa; Chordata; Mammalia; Primates; Aotidae
Rfam family: Metazoan signal recognition particle RNA
About the family: The signal recognition particle (SRP) is a universally conserved ribonucleoprotein. It is involved in the co-translational targeting of proteins to membranes.
Source: Ensembl